RNAcentral lists this long non-coding RNA (456 nucleotides) under Eucalyptus grandis. RNAcentral describes it as "long non-coding RNA (EGRA_LNC004453)". The record is from RNAcentral. Lineage: Eukaryota; Viridiplantae; Streptophyta; Magnoliopsida; Myrtales; Myrtaceae.
UCUUUUUAAUGUUCAAAUGAACCCCUGGAGAAUGAUCAGCCAUUUGGUAGAAAAGUAGUCCAAUCCCAUUUGGGAAAGUAAAGUUCCUGUAACUUAAGCAUGCACAAAACUAUAGGCAGCAAUUUCCAGUAUUACAACAAAUGUAGUUCUUGCGCUGCCAGAAGAUAAGGAAACAAACCAAGGAGUGCAUUGAGCAUCUCUCAUCCCAAAAUAUCAUCCAAACAAAGGGGAAAUCAAACACACCAAUUUUGGCUACAGAAAUUAGGAGCAUAAGAGAGUGCUCAAAGCAACCAAAGCUAUACACAGUUAAUCCAAUCAAAAGCUACAUCACAUGUUCCUGUUAUUUCUGCCUGGACUUUUUGGCAGACUUUCGGCUCUCAAGUUUCUUUCUUGCUGCCUCAAACUCUUCUUCACUGGGUUCCGAACUCUGCAUUCCACCACCAUAUUUAUUCACCA